CCUACGGGUGGCAGCAGUGAGGAAUAUUUGUCAAUGGAGGAAACUCUGACCCAGCAACGCCGCGUGAAUGAUGAAGGUCUUCGGAUUGUAAAGUUCUUUUCUAAGGGAAGAAGAAAGUGACGGUACCUUAGGAAUAAGCCUCGGCUAACUACGUGCCAGCAGCCGCGGUAAUACGUAGGAGGCAAGCGUUAUCCGGAAUGACUGGGCGUAAAGGGUGCGUAGGUGGUUUGAUAAGUUGGUAGCGUAACUCCGAGGCUCAACCUCGGCACUACUACCAAAACUGUCGGACUUGAGUGCAGGAGGGGCAACUGGAAUUCCUAGUGUAGCGGUGGAAUGCGGAGAUAUUAGGAGGAACACCAGUGGCGAAGGCGAGUUGCUGGACUGUAACUGACACUGAGGCACGAAAGCGUGGGGAGCAAACAGGAUUAGAUACCCGGGUAGUC
Molecule: ribosomal RNA, 443 nt
Filed under: uncultured bacterium
Lineage: Bacteria
Description: partial 16S ribosomal RNA
Rfam family: Bacterial small subunit ribosomal RNA
Source: RNAcentral